UACGGGGGGGGCUAGCGUUGUUCGGAAUUACUGGGCGUAAAGGGCGCGUAGGCGGUCUGCUAAGUUGGAUGUGAAAACUCUGGGCUUAACCCAGAGCCUGCAUUCAAAACUGACAGGCUGGAGUUCUGGAGGGGAUAGCGGAAUUCCUGGUGUAGCGGUGAAAUGCGUAGAUAUCAGGAGGAACACCGGUGGCGAAGGCGGCUAUCUGGACAGAAACUGACGCUGAGGCGCGAAAGCUAGGGGAGCAAACAGG
RNAcentral lists this ribosomal RNA (253 nucleotides) under uncultured bacterium. RNAcentral describes it as "partial 16S ribosomal RNA". It matches the Rfam family "Bacterial small subunit ribosomal RNA", at positions 524 to 776 of the family's 1533-position model. The record is from RNAcentral.